AGAGAGCUCAGCAAAUCUUGAGCAAUCUGAAAUUUAAAGGUAACAUCCAUGUUUGCGAGCUUCAUUAAAAGUUUCUUAAGAUUUUGAGUUUCUCAACUGAGGACUCAGAUUUAAAUCCCAAACAAUGUUUUGAGGAUGAAGGUUCUUUGUACUGUUUUGAAUGAGUCUUGGUUUUCAGGGUAGGACAACCUGCUGAAGUCUGAAGUGUUGUAAUUAUAUGAAUAAGUGGUUAGAGGAGAUGCCUAAACCCAGUGAAGUAGCUGUGAAAGUGAAAUAUCCUUAGACUUUCAUAAGAGCACGCAGAUUCUGACAUGUGCUCAGUCAGGAAAACUUUUGGUUUUCCCUUAUUUUGUUUCCAGCAGCGCAGCAGAGAUGUAAAGUGGCUUCUUGGUGCUACAGAGCAGGUCACCUCUUAAUAGCUCUACUCGCUGUUACUUCCGUGGUUACCAUCAGGAUAAGGCAUGAUAGACUUGCUAGUCUUCAGACAGUCCAACUACCUUCAUGCUUCAGACAUUUCCACUGGGACCUGCGGGGGAGACAGCGGUGGCAGUGGUCCUGGUCAAGGAGAGGGAGAAUAAAAGAAAACCUCCUACAGUUCAUUUUGGGUGGCUGUGGUGGAAAUUCAGACUUCAUCUCUCACCCACCACGUCUGGUAUUUAUCUACCCAAUAAACCAAGUAUAAUCAUAGCAAAACAUUUUAUUUGCUACACUGAGACUUUUCCUAUUGACCCAUACAGCUUCUUGUAAAGCCAAUGGGAAAUCCUUUUAUAGGCUUUAAUGGGCAUCAGAGCAGUCUUAAGCAGAUAUUGUAUGUUCUUCUAGUCUUAAAUGGACUCUCAAGAGCUUCCAUUCCAGAAAGUGCUGUAGAGGCUCCAUCAAGGUGCAUGGGCAUUUGAAACACUCAAAGCACUCUGAGGUUCUUAAAGACUUGAGAUACUAAAGAGGAGGAGAAGCUUCUCGGGAUCUCUGUGUUUCAUGUACAACUCAGUGUGCUGAGGCCAUGCUUCUACACUGAAUGCAGAAAGUUAUGAUGGUUCUACUGGUUCAUCUUUUGGUUUUGGUGGGAUUUUUUUGUUUGUUUUGUGUAACCAUUUUCUUUGUUGUAAAGCUAAACACUGCAAAAUGGAUAGAAUUAGAAAGCAGGUAAGAGGG
This 1152-nucleotide long non-coding RNA is filed under the name Phasianus colchicus (ring-necked pheasant). Its description in RNAcentral is "lncRNA (ENSPCLG00000001923.1)". Lineage: Eukaryota; Metazoa; Chordata; Aves; Galliformes; Phasianidae. The record is from RNAcentral.